CAGCGCAUCGAUGAGUUUGAAGCAAUGUGGGGACCCAAACUGUAUGCACUGUUCCAGAUGCGUUCUUGUCAAAGCAGCAUAAAGCAGAUGUAACAGGACGAUGCCUCCCUCCUCAUGAGGUAAGUAUAGCUGGCAGCCGCUGCGGGCGCGAUCCCAUGCCCCCAGGAGACAUGCACAGAUCCUGGGGGACCCCCUAGAACCUACAUCUGUUCACCUGCUGACCAGAGCCUUUAGUUACUGUCAAGCUGAAGGAGCUGAGCCCCAGCGUGCUAUAGCGUCCCAUCCUGCGCCAUCCUGACCUUCUCGAUAGUCCGCAUCCAACAGGCUCUUCCCCAGGCAAGGACUCCAUCCUCCAAUAAAUCACUUCGCUGUCAGCUUGAGUCUGUGAAAGUGAGAUUUUUAUCUGUGACUGUGGUCAAGUGCUGUUUUAGGUAGGACGCUUUGUUGCAUCUGUGAAAGGCUCUCUGGAUAAGUGAGAAUGGGGCGUUAGGCGUGUCCCCUCACACGUGACUCUUCGGAGUAUUAAAGCCAUACAGCUAUGCUGUACCUGCAUGUUGGGUCAGAAGAUCAAAGAACUGGUUCAUCUGCCUUAUUAAUAAAGUUAUUAUGCACCUCCCUCA
This 620-nucleotide long non-coding RNA is filed under the name Rattus norvegicus (Norway rat). Its description in RNAcentral is "long non-coding RNA NONRATT027695". Lineage: Eukaryota; Metazoa; Chordata; Mammalia; Rodentia; Muridae. The record is from RNAcentral.